UACAGGGGGUGCAAACGUUGCUCGGAAUUAUUGGGCGUAAAGCGCGCGUAGGCGGCCACUUAAGUCGGAUGUGAAAGCCCCUGGCUCAACUGGGGAAGUGCACCCGAAACUGAAUGGCUUGAGUGCAAAAGAGGGCCGCGGAAUUCCCGGUGUAGAGGUGAAAUUCGUAGAUAUCGGGAGGAACACCGGUGGCGAAGGCGGCGGCCUGGGUUGACACUGACGCUGAGGCGCGAAAGCGUGGGGAGCAAACAGG
This 253-nucleotide ribosomal RNA is filed under the name uncultured bacterium. RNAcentral describes it as "partial 16S ribosomal RNA". It matches the Rfam family "Bacterial small subunit ribosomal RNA", at positions 524 to 776 of the family's 1533-position model. The record is from RNAcentral.